AUGGCCGGCGGCGAUGGUGCCGCCACCGCGGGGGCGGCGGCGGAGGCGGGGAUGGGCCUCGACAUCUCGCGCGCGGGCGGGUUGCCCAGCUUCGAGUUCGCGUUCAAUUCAGAGAGCUUCUCCGACCGGGUGCUGCGGCUGGAGGUCGUCGCCAGCGACGGCGUCGCCGGAGGAUCCCUCCCCGACUUGGCGUUCCACUGCGACGAGCUCCACAAGGAGGAAGCAGAUAGAAAAAGUAUUGACUCUUCUUGGACCAUUGUGCCCGUGCCAGUUUUACGAGUGAAGACCAUUUACAUCAAUUCGUUGGUUCUCGCUGCAAAUAGUCCAUUCUUUCUUAAGCUUUUCUCAAAUGGCAUGAAAGAGUCUGAUCAGAGGCAUCUAACACUCCGAAUUGCUGAUUCGGGAACGGAGGAAACUGUCAUGAUGGAGAUUUUGAGCUUUAUGUACACUGGAAAGUUGACAACAACUGAGCCCAAUCUUCUGCUCGACAUCUUGAUGGCCGCUGAUAAAUUUGAGGUUCUUGCUUGCAUGAGGCAUUGUAGCCAGUUACUCACAAACUUGCCUAUGACCAGAGAGUCUGCGUUGCUCUACCUAGAUUACCCAUGCUCCACUUCAGUGGCUGCUGAAAUUCGGCAUCUGACAGAUGCAGCCAAGGAAUUCCUCGCCGGCAAAUACAAGGUUUUCGCCAAGUUCUCUGAUGAAUUGAUGGACAUGCCUCUUGCUGGUAUUGAAGCCAUCUUUUCUAGUACUGACCUACAGAUAAGAUCUGAAGAUACCGUAUAUAGCUUUCUGCUUGAGUGGGCAUGCAAGCAAUACCCAGAAACAGAGGAAGGGCAGAAGAUAUGGAGUUCUCGUUUACUUCCGCUGGUGCGCUUCAGUCAUAUGACUUGGAGUAAAACUCCAUAA
Molecule: ribosomal RNA, 906 nt
Filed under: Triticum aestivum (bread wheat)
Lineage: Eukaryota; Viridiplantae; Streptophyta; Magnoliopsida; Poales; Poaceae
Description: partial small subunit ribosomal RNA
Source: RNAcentral